Molecule: ribosomal RNA, 465 nt
Filed under: Vreelandella stevensii
Lineage: Bacteria; Pseudomonadati; Pseudomonadota; Gammaproteobacteria; Oceanospirillales; Halomonadaceae
Description: partial 16S ribosomal RNA
Rfam family: Bacterial small subunit ribosomal RNA
Source: RNAcentral
CCUACGGGCGGCAGCAGUGGGGAAUAUUGGACAAUGGGCGAAAGCCUGAUCCAGCCAUGCCGCGUGUGUGAAGAAGGCCUUCGGGUUGUAAAGCACUUUCAGUGGGGAAGAAAGCCUUGGGGCUAAUACCCUCGAGGAAGGACAUCACCCACAGAAGAAGCACCGGCUAACUCCGUGCCAGCAGCCGCGGUAAUACGGAGGGUGCGAGCGUUAAUCGGAAUUACUGGGCGUAAAGCGCGCGUAGGCGGUCUGAUAAGCCGGUUGUGAAAGCCCCGGGCUCAACCUGGGAACGGCAUCCGGAACUGUCAGGCUAGAGUGCAGUAGAGGAAGGUAGAAUUCCCGGUGUAGCGGUGAAAUGCGUAGAGAUCGGGAGGAAUACCAGUGGCGAAGGCAGCCUUCUGGACUGACACUGACGCUGAGGUGCGAAAGCGUGGGUAGCAAACAGGAUUAGAUACCCCAGUAGUC